GACGAACGCUGGCGGCGUGCUUAACACAUGCAAGUCGAACGGAAAGGCCCUGCUUUUGUGGGGUGCUCGAGUGGCGAACGGGUGAGUAACACGUGAGUAACCUGCCCUUGACUUUGGGAUAACUUCAGGAAACUGGGGCUAAUACCGGAUAGGAGCUCCUGCUGCAUGGUGGGGGUUGGAACGUUUCGGAGGUUGGGGAUGGACUCGCGGCUUAUCAGCUUGUUGGUGGGGUAGUGGCUUACCAAGGCUUUGACGGGUAGCUGGCCUGAGAGGGUGAGCGGGCACAUUGGGACUGAGGUAGGGACCAGACUGCUACGGGAGGCAGCAGUGGGGAGUAUUGCACAGCGGGCGGAAGCCUGACGCGACAACGCCGCGUGCGGGAUGCCGGCCUUCGGGUUGGAAACCGCUGUGGCCUGUGACGAAGCGUGAGUGACGGUAAUGGGUAAAGAAGCACCGGCUAACUACGUG
This 468-nucleotide ribosomal RNA is filed under the name uncultured bacterium. RNAcentral's name for it is "partial 16S ribosomal RNA". It matches the Rfam family "Bacterial small subunit ribosomal RNA", at positions 28 to 507 of the family's 1533-position model. The record is from RNAcentral.